AUUGAACGCUGGCGGCAGGCCUAACACAUGCAAGUCGAACGAGUGGCGGACGGGUGAGUAAUGUCUGGGAAACUGCCCGAUGGAGGGGGAUAACUACUGGAAAAGGUACAUAAUACCGCAUACCAUCUGAUGUGCCCAGAUGGGAUUAGCGAGUUGGUGGGGUAACGGCUCAACAAGGCGACGAACCCUAGCUGGUCUGCGAGGAUGACCAGCAACAGUGGACAUGAGACACGGUCUAUACGCCGACGGGAGGCAGCAGUGGGGAAUAUUGCAAAAGGGGCGCAAGCCUGAUGCAGCCAUGCCGCGUGUAUGAAGAAGGCCUUCGGGUGGUAAAGUACGUUAAGCGGGGAGGCGUUACCCGCAGAAGAAGCACCGGCUAACUCCGUGCCAGCAGCCGCGGUAAUUC
RNAcentral lists this ribosomal RNA (406 nucleotides) under uncultured bacterium. RNAcentral describes it as "partial 16S ribosomal RNA". It matches the Rfam family "Bacterial small subunit ribosomal RNA", at positions 29 to 526 of the family's 1533-position model. The record is from RNAcentral.